Molecule: ribosomal RNA, 433 nt
Filed under: uncultured bacterium
Lineage: Bacteria
Description: bacterial SSU rRNA
Rfam family: Bacterial small subunit ribosomal RNA
Source: RNAcentral
AUUGAACGCUGGCGGCAUGCCUUACACAUGCAAGUCGAACGGCAGCGGGCCUUCGGGUGCCGGCGAGUGGCGAACGGGUGAGUAAUGCAUCGGAACGUGCCAUUGAGUGGGGGAUAACGUAGCGAAAGUUACGCUAAUACCGCAUAUUCUGUGAGCAGGAAAGCAGGGGACCGCAAGGCCUUGCGCUCUUUGAGCGGCCGAUGUCAGAUUAGCUAGUUGGUGAGGUAAAGGCUUACCAAGGCGACGAUCUGUAGCGGGUCUGAGAGGAUGAUCCGCCACACUGGAACUGAGACACGGUCCAGACUCCUACGGGAGGCAGCAGUGGGGAAUUUUGGACAAUGGGCGCAAGCCUGAUCCAGCCAUGCCGCGUGAGUGAAGAAGGCCUCGGGUUGUUAAAGGUACGUCUUUCGGUCCCGGGAAGGAAAGUACGCAU